UAGGGAAUCUUCCGCAAUGGGCGAAAGCUUGACGGAGCAACGCCGCGUGAGUGAUGAAGGUCUUCGGAUCGUAAAACUCUGUUAUUAGGGAAGAACAAAUGUGUAAGUAACUAUGCACGUCUUGACGGUACCUAAUCAGAAAGCCACGGCUAACUACGUGCCAGCAGCCGCGGUAAUACGUAGGUGGCAAGCGUUAUCCGGAAUUAUUGGGCGUAAAGCGCGCGUAGGCGGUUUUUUAAGUCUGAUGUGAAAGCCCACGGCUCAACCGUGAAGGGUCAUUGGAAACUGGAAAACUUGAGUGCAGAAGAGGAAAGUGGAAUUCCAUGUGUAGCGGUGAAAUGCGCAGAGUUAUGGGGGAACACCAGUGGCGAAGGCGACUUUCUGGUCUGUAACUGCCGCUGAUGUGCGAAAGCGUGGGGAUCAAACAGG
This 429-nucleotide ribosomal RNA is filed under the name Actinomycetes bacterium. RNAcentral's name for it is "Actinobacteria bacterium partial 16S ribosomal RNA". It matches the Rfam family "Bacterial small subunit ribosomal RNA", at positions 355 to 776 of the family's 1533-position model. Lineage: Bacteria; Bacillati; Actinomycetota; Actinomycetes. The record is from RNAcentral.